Molecule: ribosomal RNA, 326 nt
Filed under: uncultured eukaryote
Lineage: Eukaryota
Description: partial 18S ribosomal RNA
Rfam family: Eukaryotic small subunit ribosomal RNA
Source: RNAcentral
CCCUUAGAUGUUCUGGGCCGCACGCGCGCUACACUGAUGCAUUCAACAAGCCUAGCCUUGACCGAGAGGUCCGGGUAAUCUUUAAAACUGCAUCGUGAUGGGGCUAGAUUAUUGCAAUUAUUAAUCUUCAACGAGGAAUGCCUAGUAAGCGUGAUUCAUCAAAUCGCGUUGAUUACGUCCCUGCCCUUUGUACACACCGCCCGUCGCUCCUACCGAUUGAAUGUGUUGGUGAGGAGCUCGGAUUGGCAGCAGUUGGUGGUUCGCCACCGGCUAUUGCUGAGAAGUCCUCCAAACCGCCCCAUUUAGAGGAAGGAGAAGUCGUAACA